AAUAUUUUUAAUUAUUUGAUUGAAGGAGAUAAUUAAAAGAGAAAAUUAAUACUUUCUCAUUUCAUCAUUUAAUUUUACAUUUAUAAUUAUUAAUGAAAUACUAAUUAAUUAUAAAUAAUUUUUUACUAAAUUCAUUAAUUAAAGAAGAUUGACACUUUGACUCGACAAAACAUUUUACAAGUUUUACCUACCGAAUGGCUCACCUGUAAGUGUACCCUUCCGCGCUCACAUGAGUUUGCGGACUCCUACGAUCCGCAGCAGACUUCCGGGCAGAACCACUACCAGCAUUACGCUUUUUUGCAUGGGCACCAGCGAUGAUAGAGACAAACACUAAUGAAUUCCGUGUGCCCGAUCGAUGAUGCUAUCUUUUUAAUUUCCCGCCUUGUGAGGCUUGAAUUCCAAAACAUAUCGCCGCGUAAUGCCAAAAGAAUUUUCGCUCAUCGGCCAGCAACAUCUUCAUCUCGGUACGCUGCGCACGAAGCAUCGAUCGUUUCCAAUUGAUCAAAAUUUAUUGACUCUGCUUUGGAAAAGAAACAUCGAACGGUAUUUGUAAAUUUUUCAAGGAUGAAGAAUAGAAGACACUGAUUCUCUUCUGCAACCUCUUCUCAUCUUCUCUGAUGAGGCCAUGCGUUUUCGAUCAAGUGAAAUUUAUCAUCAAAUUUUAUGACUAAUACUCGAACAAAAAGUGGAAG
Long non-coding RNA from Apis laboriosa (Himalayan honeybee), 692 nucleotides. RefSeq lists it as uncharacterized. The transcript has 3 exons. The record is from RefSeq and is a predicted model, not a curated record. Lineage: Eukaryota; Metazoa; Arthropoda; Insecta; Hymenoptera; Apidae.